AACGAACGCUGGCGGCAUGCCUAACACAUGCAAGUCGAACGAGACCUUCGGGUCUAGUGGCGCACGGGUGCGUAACGCGUGGGAACCUGCCCUUAGGUUCGGAAUAACUCCCCGAAAGGGGUGCUAAUACCGGAUAAUGUCUUCGGACCAAAGAUUUAUCGCCUUUGGAUGGGCCCGCGUUGGAUUAGCUAGUUGGUAGGGUAAAAGCCUACCAAGGCGCCGAUCCAUAGCUGGUCUGAGAGGAUGAUCAGCCACACUGGGACUGAGACACGGCCCAGACUCCUACGGGAGGCAGCAGUGGGGAAUAUUGGACAAUGGGCGAAAGCCUGAUCCAGCAAUGCCGCGUGAGUGAUGAAGGCCUUAGGGUUGUAAAGCUCUUCUACCCGGGAUGAUAAUGACAGUACCGGGAGAAUAAGCUCCGGCUAACUCCGUG
This 433-nucleotide ribosomal RNA is filed under the name uncultured bacterium. RNAcentral's name for it is "partial 16S ribosomal RNA". It matches the Rfam family "Bacterial small subunit ribosomal RNA", at positions 29 to 507 of the family's 1533-position model. The record is from RNAcentral.